GACGAACGCUGGCGGCGUGCCUAACACAUGCAAGUCGAGCGGAGAUACAUUGAAGAGCAAUCAGAUAUGUAUCUUAGCGGCGGACGGGUGAGUAACGCGUGGGCAACCUGCCUCAUACUGGGGGAUAACACAGGGAAACUUGUGCUAAUACCGCAUAAUAUCAUUAUAGGGCAUCCUGUGAUGAUCAAAGGAGCAAUCCGGUGUGAGAUGGGCCCGCGUCCAAUUAGCUAGUUGGUGAGGUAACGGCCCACCAAGGCGACGAUUGGUAGCCGAACUGAGAGGUUGAUCGGCCACAUUGGGACUGAGACACGGCCCAGACUCCUACGGGAGGCAGCAGUGGGAAUAUUGCGCAAUGGGGGAAACCCUGACGCAGCAACGCCGCGUGAAGGAUGAAGGUCUUCGGAUUGUAAACUUCUUUGAUGAGGGACGAACACAAUGACGGUACCUCAAAAACAAGCCACGGCUAACUACGUGCCAGCAGCCG
This 484-nucleotide ribosomal RNA is filed under the name uncultured bacterium. RNAcentral's name for it is "bacterial SSU rRNA". It matches the Rfam family "Bacterial small subunit ribosomal RNA", at positions 28 to 517 of the family's 1533-position model. The record is from RNAcentral.